GGAGGAUUGGCCGAGUCCGGUAAGGCAACCGUCCCGAAAACGGUAGUCGGCGCGAGAGCGUCGCGCAGGUUCGAAUCCUGCAUCCUCCGCAA
This 92-nucleotide transfer RNA is filed under the name Amycolatopsis keratiniphila. RNAcentral describes it as "tRNA_Ser_CGA". It matches the Rfam family "tRNA". Rfam says of the family: Transfer RNA (tRNA) molecules are approximately 80 nucleotides in length. The record is from RNAcentral. Lineage: Bacteria; Bacillati; Actinomycetota; Actinomycetes; Pseudonocardiales; Pseudonocardiaceae. RNAcentral also lists the same sequence under 1 other name.